GAUCUACUUUCCUUUUAACAACUCUGACACUAAAGAUAUUUUCUUCCUUGACAAAUCUUCUAUGCUCUGUUUAGGGUCUCUUCAACUCAAUAGCAUAUGGCCUUAACAGCUCAGUCCGUAGAGCAAUUUACGAGAGAUUGGAUCUGUUACCUGAAUGGUCUCAAAGAUGGCUUCCUAAGAGCUCAAGGUCAAGAGGCCAACAACAAGACGACAGUGAAUUAGUCUCUCUAAAGAUUCAAGAUCAGCAAUAACAAUUUUAUGCUUGUACAGUCAUCUCAAUGAUUCUGCCGCCCUUUUCAUAAUUGGACCAGAUUGACAAUUGAUAACUACAUUGUGACAGACAGGGAUGCUCUCCAUUGCUUCAGCCCGGGUUUUGUGCUCACAUACGUUUACUGAUCCAUCUAUGCACCAUAUGCUAAUUGCUUGUUGCUCCUUUUUGAUUGCUCGAGCAUACUAAUGCACCUACUUUGUUAUUGAUACCGAAGAAUGUUAGUGUGAUCAAUAGAUUACAUAUGAUCUGAUAUGGGCUGAUGCUAAGUCUUCUGAUAUAGGCAAGGCAUACUGUAUGUUUAUUGAUGUAUCGAAACAGAGAACAUUUGUUUACUGAUUUAUUUGUUAUGUCUAUUCGAUCUACUACAGUUAUUGGCUCUUGCUACUUAUCUUCUCU
Molecule: unclassified non-coding RNA, 667 nt
Filed under: Hevea brasiliensis (rubber tree)
Lineage: Eukaryota; Viridiplantae; Streptophyta; Magnoliopsida; Malpighiales; Euphorbiaceae
Source: RNAcentral